AGUGAACGCUGGCGGUAGGCCUAACACAUGCAAGUCGAACGGCAGCACAGUAAGAGCUUGCUCUUACGGGUGGCGAGUGGCGGACGGGUGAGGAAUACAUCGGAAUCUACUUUUUCGUGGGGGAUAACGUAGGGAAACUUACGCUAAUACCGCAUACGACCUACGGUGAAAAGAAGGGAACCUUGGACCUUGCGCGGAUGAAUGAGCCGAUGUCGGAUUAGGUAGUUGGCGGGGUAAAGGCCCACCAAGGCGACGAUCCGUAGCUGGUCUGAGAGGAUGAUCAGCCACACUGGAACUGAGACACGGUCCAGACUCCUACGGGAGGCAGCAGUGGGGAAUAUUGGACAAUGGGCGCAAGCCUGAUCCAGCCAUACCGCGUGGGUGAAGAAGGCCUUCGGGUUGUAAAGCCCUUUUGUUGGGAAAGAAAAGCAGCAGGUUAAUACCCCGCUGUUCUGACGGUACCCAAAGAAUAAGCACCGGCUAACUUCGUG
RNAcentral lists this ribosomal RNA (491 nucleotides) under uncultured bacterium. Its description in RNAcentral is "partial 16S ribosomal RNA". It matches the Rfam family "Bacterial small subunit ribosomal RNA", at positions 29 to 507 of the family's 1533-position model. The record is from RNAcentral.